RNAcentral lists this ribosomal RNA (119 nucleotides) under Pteropus alecto (black flying fox). The record is from RNAcentral. Lineage: Eukaryota; Metazoa; Chordata; Mammalia; Chiroptera; Pteropodidae.
GUCUACGGCCAUGCCACCCUGAACAAGCCCGAUCCUGUCUGUUGUCGGAAGCUAAGCAGGGUUGGGCCUCGUUAGUACUUGGAUGGGAGACCACCUAGGAAGACCAGGUGCUGUAGGCG